Long non-coding RNA from Lagenorhynchus albirostris (white-beaked dolphin), 306 nucleotides. RefSeq lists it as uncharacterized. NCBI's taxonomy places the organism in Eukaryota, Metazoa, Chordata, Mammalia, Artiodactyla, Delphinidae. The record is from RefSeq and is a predicted model, not a curated record. The transcript has 3 exons.
CUUUGGGAAAUCAGCUUCCAAGGCAAACCCAGGCCCAGGAGACAGGCGCCUUUCCCAAGGCCUCGACUGAUGCAGAAUCCGGACCAGGUAAUGGAUGUCAUGGAUGCAUUUGUAUUAGAAAAUCUCCACCUAACAUCUUGUGAUGUAGAUCUGCAUCCUUUUCAUCACGGAAGACAUCAUUCUGUGAGAACAGGAACAGAAAGUAUGAAGUGGGACAGGAGACAGACUCCCUGAGGUGCUUUGAAAACUCCAGAGUAUAUAAGAGCGUCGGAUGAAUCCAAGUUAAAGUGCAUUAAUAAAUACUGC